CCUACGGGAGGCAGCAGUCGAGAAUCAUUCACAAUGGGGGAAACCCUGAUGGUGCGACGCCGCGUGGGGGAAUGAAGGUCUUCGGAUUGUAAACCCCUGUCAUGUGGGAGCAAAUUAAAAAGAUAGUACCACAAGAGGAAGAGACGGCUAACUCUGUGCCAGCAGCCGCGGUAAUACAGAGGUCUCAAGCGUUGUUCGGAAUCACUGGGCGUAAAGCGUGCGUAGGCUGUUUCGUAAGUCGUGUGUGAAAGGCGGAAGCUCAACUUCCGUAGGGCACUGGAUACUGGCGAGCUUGAAUGCGGUAGAGGUAAAGGGAAUUCCUGGUGUAGCGGUGAAAUGCGUAGAUAUCAGGAGGAACAUCGGUGGCGUAAGCGCUUUACUGGGCCGUAAUUGACACUGAGGAACGAAAGCCGGGGUAGCAAAUGGGAUUAGAUACCCUUGUAGUC
RNAcentral lists this ribosomal RNA (446 nucleotides) under uncultured bacterium. Its description in RNAcentral is "partial 16S ribosomal RNA". It matches the Rfam family "Bacterial small subunit ribosomal RNA", at positions 338 to 795 of the family's 1533-position model. The record is from RNAcentral.